UACAGAGGGUGCGAGCGUUGUUCGGAAUCACUGGGCGUAAAGCGCACGUAGGCGGAUGUGUCAGUCAGGGGUGAAAUCCCGGAGCUCAACUUCGGAACUGCCCUUGAUACAGCACGUCUUGAGUCCGGAAGAGGUGGGUGGAAUUCCUAGUGUAGAGGUGAAAUUCGUAGAUAUUAGGAAGAACACCGGUGGCGAAGGCGGCCCACUGGUCCGGUACUGACGCUGACGUGCGAAAGCGUGGGGAGCAAACAGG
Molecule: ribosomal RNA, 253 nt
Filed under: uncultured bacterium
Lineage: Bacteria
Description: partial 16S ribosomal RNA
Rfam family: Bacterial small subunit ribosomal RNA
Source: RNAcentral